AUUGAACGCUGGCGGCAGGCCUAACACAUGCAAGUCGAGCGGAUGAAGGGAGCUUGCUCCUGGAUUCAGCGGCGGACGGGUGAGUAAUGCCUAGGAAUCUGCCUGGUAGUGGGGGAUAACGUCCGGAAACGGGCGCUAAUACCGCAUACGUCCUGAGGGAGAAAGUGGGGGAUCUUCGGACCUCACGCUAUCAGAUGAGCCUAGGUCGGAUUAGCUAGUUGGUGGGGUAAAGGCCUACCAAGGCGACGAUCCGUAACUGGUCUGAGAGGAUGAUCAGUCACACUGGAACUGAGACACGGUCCAGACUCCUACGGGAGGCAGCAGUGGGGAAUAUUGGACGAUGGGCGAAAGCCUGAUCCAGCCAUGCCGCGUGUGUGAAGAAGGUCUUCGGAUUGUAAAGCACUUUAAGUUGGGAGGAAGGGCAGUAAGUUAAUACCUUGCUGUUUUGACGGUACCAACAGAAUAAGCACCGGCUAACUUCGUG
Molecule: ribosomal RNA, 484 nt
Filed under: uncultured bacterium
Lineage: Bacteria
Description: partial 16S ribosomal RNA
Rfam family: Bacterial small subunit ribosomal RNA
Source: RNAcentral